CCCUUAGAUGUUCUGGGCCACACGCGCGUUACACUGAUGAAGCCAGCGAGUAUAUCGCCUUCACCGGAAGGUGCGGGUAAUCUUGUGAAACUUCAUCGUGCUGGGGAUAGACCAUUGCAAUUAUUGGCCUUGAACGAGGAAUUCCUAGUAAGCAUGAGUCAUCAACUCGUGCUGAUUACGUCCCUGCCCUUUGUACACACCGCCCGUCGCUACUACCGAUUGAAUGGUUUAGUGAGAUCUCGGGAUUGGAGACGUUGCGCCGCAAGGCACAUCGUCCUCGAGAACUUGAUCAAACUUGAUCAUUUAGAGGAAGUAAAAGUCGUAACA
Molecule: ribosomal RNA, 327 nt
Filed under: uncultured eukaryote
Lineage: Eukaryota
Description: partial 18S ribosomal RNA
Rfam family: Eukaryotic small subunit ribosomal RNA
Source: RNAcentral